UGAUCACAAGUGCAGGAUUCCGGCGACAUUCGAUUAGGAUUCCGGUUAGGUCAAUUUGAAUUCAGCGAGUGGUUGCAAUUGAUAAGAUUUGAUUAGCAUGGAACAUCGAAAGGAUGAGGUUGUUGAGAGGAUCAACUUUAGAUCAUAAAAUGAUGCACUCAUAGCUGCGACUUCAAGAUGGAAAGGUUGAACAUGAUCAUACAAGAGAUGGUGAAAGAAAAAGAAGAGAAAGAAAGGUUGAACGGAAGGAUGACAAAUGUUGAACGAUGCUAAAAAUUAGGUAUCAAAACGUCUAAUCAUCGAGUUGGUUAUAAGCACUUUAUUUUGGAUAUGUAUUUUGUUCGGAGAACUCAUGUAUUUAAUUUGAUGUUUUAAGUGGAAUGCUUUAUAUAAUUUU
This 397-nucleotide long non-coding RNA is filed under the name Helianthus annuus (common sunflower). Its description in RNAcentral is "sRNA HanXRQr2_Chr17g0810191". Lineage: Eukaryota; Viridiplantae; Streptophyta; Magnoliopsida; Asterales; Asteraceae. The record is from RNAcentral.